CCGAGACAGGUGCUGCAUGGCUGUCGUUAGCUCGUGUCGUGAGAUGUUGGGUUAAGUCCCGCAACGAGCGCAACCCUUGUCCCUAGUUGCCAGCGGUUCGGCCGGGAACUCUAGGGAGACUGCCGGUGAUAAACCGGAGGAAGGUGGGGAUGACGUCAAGUCAUCAUGGCCCUUACGGCCAGGGCCACACACGUGCUACAAUGGGCGGUACAAAGGGUCGCGAACCCGCGAGGGGGAGCCAAUCCCAAAGAGCCGCUCGCAGUCCGGAUCGGAGUCUGCAACCCGACUCCGUGAAGUCGGAAUCGCUAGUAAUCGCGGAUCAGCACUGCCGCGGUGAAUACGUUCCCGGGCCUUGUACACACCGCCCGUCACACCAUGGGAGUUGGCGGCACCAGAAGUCGGUGGCUUAACCUUCGGGAGGGCGCUGACCACGGUGUGGUCAAUGACUGGGGUGAAGUCGUAACAAGGUAGCCGUAGGGGAACCUGCGGCUGGAUCACCUCCUUU
Molecule: ribosomal RNA, 505 nt
Filed under: Candidatus Competibacter phosphatis
Lineage: Bacteria; Pseudomonadati; Pseudomonadota; Gammaproteobacteria; Candidatus Competibacteraceae
Description: bacterial SSU rRNA
Rfam family: Bacterial small subunit ribosomal RNA
Source: RNAcentral